RNAcentral lists this ribosomal RNA (434 nucleotides) under uncultured Lachnospiraceae bacterium. RNAcentral's name for it is "partial 16S ribosomal RNA". It matches the Rfam family "Bacterial small subunit ribosomal RNA", at positions 341 to 792 of the family's 1533-position model. The record is from RNAcentral. Lineage: Bacteria; Bacillati; Bacillota; Clostridia; Lachnospirales; Lachnospiraceae.
ACGGAAGGCAGCAGUGGGGGAUAUUGCACAAUGGGGGAAACCCUGAUGCAGCGACGCCGCGUGAGUGAUGAAGUAUUUCGGUAUGUAAAGCUCUUUCAGCAGGAAAGAUAAUGACGGUACCUGACUAAGAAGCACCGGCUAAAUACGUGCCAGCAGCCGCGGUAAUACGUAUGGUGCAAGCGUUAUCCGGAUUUACUGGGCGUAAAGGGAGCGUAGACGGCAUGGCAAGCCAGAUGUGAAAGGCAGGGGCUCAACCCCUGGACUGCAUUUGGAACUGUCAAGCUAGAGUAUCGGAGAGGUAAGUGGAAUUCCUAGUGUAGCGGUGAAAUGCGUAGAUAUUAGGAGGAACACCAGUGGCGAAGGCGGCUUACUGGACGAUAACUGACGUUGAGGCUCGAAAGCGUGGGGAGCAAACAGGAUUAGAUACCCUGGUA